RNAcentral lists this long non-coding RNA (373 nucleotides) under Polistes fuscatus (common paper wasp). RNAcentral's name for it is "uncharacterized LOC122516112". Lineage: Eukaryota; Metazoa; Arthropoda; Insecta; Hymenoptera; Vespidae. The record is from RNAcentral.
UACUGAAUCUAGAAUCGAGCCAGUCGAUGAUGUCAUUAAAGACACCGGUUUCAGCCGGCAUCUUACGUACACGAAGGAUCCGAUCCAGUGAAAUCACGAGGGUUCUUCGACACCGGGCGGAGAUUAACCGAGAAACUAGUAAGGUCAACGACUCUCCUUCUCGUUCCACUAGUGCAGACUGUGAAAGAAGAAUAAGAAUAAGAAGAAGUAGAAAGACAGAAAGAGAGAUUGAGAGAAGGGGGGGAGAGGGUGGGGAAUUUAUCGUCGUCGAGCAUCGACCAGGAAUAGGCGUAAAAGAUGGAGACGAGCACCCAUUGCAAAAGAAUAACAGAGGUGAACACAGAAGAGUAACAAAGAGAAAGAAAGACAAAAA